UAAUACGAAGGGCCCGAGCGUUGCGCGGAAUCACUGGGCUUAAAGCGUACGUAGGCGGACAUGCAGGCAUCUUGUGAAAUCCCUCGGCUCAACCGAGGAACUGCAGGGUGAACCGCAUGUCUUGAGGUGGGUAGGGGCUGUCGGAACGAUAGGUGGAGCGGUGAAAUGCGUUGAUAUCUAUCGGAACGCCAAAGGCGAAGGCAGACAGCUGGGCCUAUUCUGACGCUGAGGUACGAAAGCGUGGGGAGCGAACGGGAUUAGAUACCCCGGUAGUCCACGCCGUAAACGAUGUGCACUAGAUCGAGGGAGUUCUGACACUAUUCUCGGUCGAAGCAAAAGUGUUAAGUGCACCGCCUGGGGAGUACGGUCGCAAGGCUA
RNAcentral lists this ribosomal RNA (378 nucleotides) under uncultured bacterium. RNAcentral describes it as "bacterial SSU rRNA". It matches the Rfam family "Bacterial small subunit ribosomal RNA", at positions 521 to 896 of the family's 1533-position model. RNAcentral also lists the same sequence under 1 other name. The record is from RNAcentral.